UGUUAAAAAUUUCAUACAUUUUUAUUGUUAAAAUUAACUUAGCUAACGAAAUAAUGUGCCACAUGUACCUCAUAUUGAUAUACAAUGACCAAUAUUUAAUAGUAAAAAUAGAUAAAAUUUUUAAUA
Gossypium arboreum is the source of this 126-nucleotide non-coding RNA. The record is from Rfam. Lineage: Eukaryota; Viridiplantae; Streptophyta; Magnoliopsida; Malvales; Malvaceae.